GAUCUGCUCCUCCGUGGUCCUUUCCUGCCCCAGGGCCACUCCAGUUCACCUGCAGCCUUCUGGCCUCUGCUCUCAGGGCCUCUGUCCCAGGACUGACCGCAGUCUUUUCUUCCCUUGUCAACAUUUCCUGGGCUUUUUAGAAGUUUGUCUAUUCUCUACAAUACAACACUGGCAGAUGUGAUGGUGGUCAGCAUGCUGGUGGGCAGUCACUUGGGGACUCCCAGGAGCCAUGCUGAUUCUCCUGAGUCUCGCAUUCGGGGUUACAGAACUGUCGAGCACCGGAGGAAGUCCAUUCAUUACGUUUUGAUUACUGAGACCCUCAAAUUCCCAUAUGAAUUGUAGCAGCAGCUAGUCAGUUACUGCAGAGGAGCCCGCUGGGAUUGUGAUCGAGACCACGUUGAGCAUACGGAUCGCUCUGGGGAGCACUGCCAUCCCAAGAGCGCUGUCAUCUGAUCCAGGAAUCUGUGUGGUAUGUCUGUCCAAAGUUCUAUGUAUAGUUGGUUACAUUCUAUACCUGGAAAUUUCUC
Vicugna pacos (alpaca) is the source of this 527-nucleotide non-coding RNA. The record is from RefSeq and is a predicted model, not a curated record. NCBI's taxonomy places the organism in Eukaryota, Metazoa, Chordata, Mammalia, Artiodactyla, Camelidae.